UCACAUCAAAUUUUAAAAAUUGUACAACUUAACCUAAUGAUUUUAACAAUUACCAUUUGAAGUUUUGAAUUGAAUGGAGGGACAGUUAAAACAUUUAUUAGACACAUGUACUGUAAUACCCAAUUUUUCCCCGCCCACUACAAACAAUCCAAAAACAAGUAAAAAAUAUAAAUAAUAUAAAAAUCCAAAUAUCAACAGUCCAUAUCUGUCCAAUUACAACCCAAAAUAAAAGCAAAUUAACCCAAACGGCCCAAAGACAAACCUAAUACCCAAAAUGAGCCCAAACAGCCCAAAUACUAAACAAAUUUGGCCAAACCCUAGCCCUAGUAGCAGAUGCGCCACAACCGGACAGCAGCCCCAGCCUCCGUACCAUGCCAGCGCCUCCAGCAACCACGCCAAGCCUCCGUACACACGCCAACGCGCACCCGUACCUGCAAAAAGACAAACAGAGCAGCAACAAAUAGAAACAAAAGAGAAAAUAUUGUAUUUUUGAUUUAUUUUCCUCUUUCUUUUCGGCUAUAAAGCCAAUAAUGGAUCAAUUAUAUUGGGUUACGUUCACAGACGAAAUACAAAGGCAUAGUGUACAAGCAAAGAGAUAAUAGCAAUCGAUCAAAAAACAGAGAGGUGAUUUUGGCUCUCGUUUUUUAUAUACCUUUCUUCUUUUUUCUUCUUUCUGUUAUCAGCAUUGAUUCAAAUCCAUCAUCGUUACAAAAAAGGGUAUAAAAGCAUAGGGAUAAGAAAAUAACUUGUGAGUAUGCCGUAGACUUCUUUUGGUUUCGUUGAUAUCGAAGUCAAAAUGGAGUCAUGAGGCUAAAAAAUGUCCCACAAGGCAUGAAAGUAUCGAUCGCCGUUUAGGGAGACAAAUCGGUGCCUGAAAAGGAGGGUUUUAGGUCGGUUGGUGAAGCAAAAUGGGGCUAGGGUUCUUGAUUCGGCCAAAUGUGGCCUUGUUUGAGGCUUUUAUAGAACCAAAAACGGCACCGUUUGGGCCCGUUCCAAUGGCUCCAAAACGGUGCCGUGUGUUUAUGCCUUGGAUAUGAGGCAUAUGGUAGUCUUGUCCUCCCAAAAUCAGCAAGACAGAAGAACAAUACACCUUGGAGCAUCAACAAAAUAUGCACGAUCUCCUGAAUACACAUUUGGUUCGAAGGAGCCUUUGAAAAAUUGAAAUAGUGAAACUCGUGCUAAGAUAUCUGGGGCACCUCUUUUCUUUUUAUUGUACUUUGUGCUUUAGUAGACUGGCUAUCCUGCUUGAUGUAUUCACUUUCAGUUUUACUCAAUAAAAUUCCAUUUAGUCCAUUAUGAUAAUCUCUUUCGAGCAUUUUUUGUUGAAAUCACGAUUUUUGGACAUGUAAUAUUCACACAAAAGAUGUUAUGCAUAUUACUCUAGAAAGUCUUUAAAUAGUACAAGAACCUGAAACAGGGCCACUAGUCAGGACUAACCAGGUUCAAAGUUGGAAACAUUCGAAAAAGAAGGGUCCUAAUUGUGAAUAUUUCUUCAAAUUUUCUAUCGAAGAUAACAGCUAAGCAAGAGGGCGUGGUAGCACAUCAAUGAUAGAACCUGAGUGAAUUAUGAGCAAUGACACCUUAAAUGUUUAAAAAGGAAUCACGUUCAUGACAUUUCUACAUUCAUAAUCAUUCAUCUAGUUAGGAGCACUUGAUUCAUUUCGAUCAUAGCAUUCUAAUUGUUUGACAUAAACACCACAUCUAGUUAGGAGCACUUGAUUCAUUUCGAUCAUAGCAUUUUAAUUAUUUGACAUAAAUACCACAUCUAGUUAGGGACAUUUGAUUCAUCUCGAUCAUAGCAUCCUAGUUAUUUGACAUGCACAGAUACAGGAAACCCAUUCUACAUAUCAUGUUUUCAGAAGAUAGUGUAGCGACAUUGGCGAAUCCUACAGAUUUGGCAUCUCUGUAUUAGUGAAGAGCAGAUCAAAGAUAACAAAUUUAGCGUCUCUGUAUUGGCGGAGAGCAGAUCGAAGAUAGCAGAUUUAGCGUCUCUAUAUUGUCAGAGGGCAAAUCAAAGAUAGCAGAUUUGGCAUCUCUGUAUUGGUGGAUAGCAGAUCGAAGAUAUCAGAUUUGGCGUCUUUGUAUUGUCAGAGGGCAGAUUGAAGAUAGCAGAUUUGGCGUCUCUGUAUUGGCGGAGAGCAGAUCGAAGAUAGCAGAUUUGGCGUCUCUGUAUUGGCAGAGAACAAAUCGAAGAUAGCAGAUUUGGCAUCUCUGUAUUGGUGGAGAGCAGAUCGAAGAUAUCAGAUUUAGCGUCUCUGUAUUGUCAGAGGGCAGAUCAAAGAUAGUAGAUUUAGCGUCUCUGUUUUGGCAGAGAGCAGAUCGAAGAUAGCAGAUUUGGCAUCUCUGUAUUGGCAAAGAGCAGAUCAAAAAUAAUAGAUUGGUGUUCCCGAGUCUUCAAGAAGCAGGUUGAAGAUAGCCAAUUUGACACUCUUGAAGACAUCAGAAUACCUUUGGGGAAGAUGAAGAUCAAGAUUUUGAGACUUAGCCAGACCGGGCAAAAUUGGCCUUUUUAUAGUCUUUGCUCUAUUCUCGUUACACGACAAUGAGCAAAGAGGGGCAGCUGUAAUACCCAAUUUUUGCCCAGCCCGCUACAAACAAUCCAAAAACAAGUAAAAAUAUAUAAAUAAUAUAAAAAUCCAAAUAUCAACAGUCCAUAUAUGUCCAAUUACAACCCAAAAUAAAACCAAAUUAACCCAAACGGCCCAAAGACAAACCCAAUACCCAAAAUGAGCCCAAACGGCCCGAAUACUAAACAAAUUUGGCAAAACCCUAGCCCUAGUAGCAGAUGCGCCACAACCGGACAGCAGCCCCAGCCUCCGUACCAUGCCAGCACCUCCAGCAACCAUGCCAAGCCUCCGUACACACGCCAGCGCGCACCCGUACUUGUAAAAAGACAAACAGAGCAGCAACAAAUAGAAACAAAAGAGAAAAUAUUGUAUUUUUUUAUUUAUUUUCCUCUUUCUUUUCGGCUAUAAAGCUAAGAAUGGAUCGAUUAUAUUGGGUUACGUUCACAGACGAAAUACAAAGGCAUAGUGUACAAGCAAAGAGAUAAUAACAAUCGAUCAAAAAAAGAGAGGUGAUUUUGGCUCUCGUUUUUUAUAUACCUUUCUUCUUUUUUCUUCUUUUUGUUAUCAGCAUUGAUUCAAAUCCAUCAUCGUUACAAAAAAGGGUAUAAAAGCAUAGGGAUAAGAAAAUACCUUGCGAGUAUGACGUAGACUUCUUUUGGUUUCGUCGAUAUCGGAGUCAAAAUGGAGUCACGAGGCUAAAAAAUGUCCCUCAAGGCAUGAAAGUACCGAUCGCCGUUUAGGG
This 3309-nucleotide long non-coding RNA is filed under the name Gossypium barbadense (sea-island cotton). Its description in RNAcentral is "long non-coding RNA (GBAR_LNC002845)". Lineage: Eukaryota; Viridiplantae; Streptophyta; Magnoliopsida; Malvales; Malvaceae. The record is from RNAcentral.